GCGAAGGAUCUUGCGGUUACGUUUGUCUCUGCCUUUGAUCUGGAAGAUCUCGAGCUUCUCGAUGAGUUGUUCUUGCUCGGCUUGGGACAUGAUACAGACUCUACAAAAAGGUUAAGAAAAUAGGCAGUUCAGGCAUCAAAGAUGCUUCCCCGGUUCCCCCGUCAUUACCGAUGUUCCACUAUAUCCUAUGGUUCUCUUGCAAGGCUCCAACUUCGGAAACUCAAUGUGUGUGGUUACUUUAUCAACACGAUUUUUACAUACAUUUAUAAAUCUCUAAUAAAAAUAUAUGUAAAAAUCAUGUGCUCUAAAGAUAUAUGUCAA
Long non-coding RNA from Alnus glutinosa, 321 nucleotides. RefSeq lists it as uncharacterized. NCBI's taxonomy places the organism in Eukaryota, Viridiplantae, Streptophyta, Magnoliopsida, Fagales, Betulaceae. The transcript has 3 exons. The record is from RefSeq and is a predicted model, not a curated record.